UUGUUGAAAUAUUACUUGACUACAAAGAUAACCCUAAAUAUAAAGGUCAAAAUGGUUGGGUAUCGGAGGGCUGGAGGAUUAUCACCAGCGAGUUCAAUGAGAAGUUUCCCAUCUUCUUAUUUUAGCCGUCUUCUCAUUUUGAAUAUAUUGAUGCUGGUCGAGAAAGAUUAAGCUUAUAUGUAAUAUUCUGCUACUUUGAUAGAUCUGCUCCGUUCUAUUCUCCUGCUGCCG
RNAcentral lists this long non-coding RNA (231 nucleotides) under Setaria italica (foxtail millet). RNAcentral describes it as "long non-coding RNA (SITA_LNC004907)". The record is from RNAcentral. Lineage: Eukaryota; Viridiplantae; Streptophyta; Magnoliopsida; Poales; Poaceae.